UAAUGACAUGCAUGUGUUGGUCCGA
RNAcentral lists this unclassified non-coding RNA (25 nucleotides) under Mus musculus (house mouse). RNAcentral's name for it is "oocyte_clustered_small_RNA6950". The record is from RNAcentral. Lineage: Eukaryota; Metazoa; Chordata; Mammalia; Rodentia; Muridae.